Molecule: ribosomal RNA, 200 nt
Filed under: uncultured bacterium
Lineage: Bacteria
Description: partial 16S ribosomal RNA
Rfam family: Bacterial small subunit ribosomal RNA
Source: RNAcentral
ACGCUCGACACCUACGGGGGGCAGCAGUGGGGAAGUAUUGCACAAUGGGGGAAACCCGUGAUGCAGCGACGCCGCGUGGAGGAAGAAGGUCUUCGGAUUGUAAACUCCUGUUGUUGGGGAAAAAGAGGAUGGUACCCAACAAGGAAGUGACGGCUAACUACGUGCCCGCAGCCGCGGUAAUCUGAGCGGGCUGGCAAGGC